ACGUACGACAGGUCUGACUACUUCAGUACAACACCGUCAAUUGAAUCGAUUUUUUAUCCACUAAUCGGUUCAUUCUUUUUAAAAUAACAAAUAUUGCUUUUUCUCGUGUAUAUAAUUAUUAUGGCAAAUGGCAUAUACGGAUAAUUUUUUGCGGGAAAUUUUUGAAUUGUACAGGGAACAAGAGUGCCUUUGAAAAGUAAUGGGUGAUGUAUAUCAUGACAGAAACGACCGAAGGGCUAUGGACAUUUUAGUUGAAAAAUUUUAAGAAGUAAAUAAAUAAGCCAGUGAGAAUUUUGUGAAAAGGGAUAUUAACAAUUAUUGAACGUCAUAUAAAAGGGAACUAAAAUUAGUAAUAAAUUCAAUUAAAUCUGGAGAACGGACUGAUAAUAUUUAUAAACAAAGUUAUGGUAUUUUAAAUGGCUGUCAUUCCUGAAUGAUCAAGAUAUACCCUGGCAGGUGUUUCUAGCCUAUCGGAUGAAGAAAAUAUAAGUAUUGAAUUUAGAAAUGACUGAUGAUGUUCGCUUCCUAACACCCGUGGAAGCCUAAGAACACUCACAAUCAUCUCAAGAAUCGACAUCGUCAAUGAACUUUGCUGCAGCUGCUUCACAUACAAAAACGCCAUCUGAGACCAAAAAACGGCAGAAUUUAGAAUCAGAUACCAGAGAAGAGAUUAUUCGUACAAUCAAAGAGAAGUUACAACAAACAAGAGAAAUUGUACAUGAAAAGGAUAGAUUCGAUAUUUUUGGAUAUAACGUGGCCAUAAAAUUAAGAGCCCUUCCCAAUAAUCAACGGAACAUAGCAGAAAAAUUAAUUAACAACGUAUUGAUUGAGGUUGAAUGCAAUUCCUUACUUAGGGGAUGGCAAUUGACACCACUACCAAAUACCAAUAAUCAGUAUGGGGAUUCCGCUCUUGUCUAUACAGAAUUAGGUACACCCCUGCAUAGUAACAAUGCAGGAAAUUCCGCAUCUCACUUCUUUUCGAUUUUUAAUGAUAUUUUAUAAUAAUUAGUUAUUUCCCAUGCAACUGUUAACGUGAUUAUUAGAGAUUUUGUUCUUUACAAGUUGUUUAUUGCCUUUUAAAUAUUUUGUCAGGAGUAUGUGCCCAAGAUAUUUUCUUUUUUAGAAUAGGUUUAUGUGUUAAGGAAGCACACAUAUUUAUUUUUGUUUUAUUUUUAUCUUUGAGACUUUCCUGUUUAAGGUUGCUCAAACAAAAUAUAAAACUAAGUUUUUAGGAAGACAAUUAUUAAGUUAGUUUUCUCUAUAUCAGUAUAGAGGUUUACUUGAAAGAUCACAUGUUUUUUAAGUUUGUAAGAGUUUUAUUUUUUUAAUUAAAUACAUUAUUACUGCCUAGAUAA
Long non-coding RNA from Diorhabda sublineata, 1355 nucleotides. RefSeq lists it as uncharacterized. The transcript has 2 exons. The record is from RefSeq and is a predicted model, not a curated record. Lineage: Eukaryota; Metazoa; Arthropoda; Insecta; Coleoptera; Chrysomelidae.